This 262-nucleotide ribosomal RNA is filed under the name Pseudoselenomonas caprae. Its description in RNAcentral is "Selenomonas sp. mPRGC8 partial 16S ribosomal RNA". It matches the Rfam family "Bacterial small subunit ribosomal RNA", at positions 1 to 150 of the family's 1533-position model. Lineage: Bacteria; Bacillati; Bacillota; Negativicutes; Selenomonadales; Selenomonadaceae. The record is from RNAcentral.
UUUAUUGGAGAGUUUGAUCCUGGCUCAGGACGAACGCUGGCGGCGUGCUUAACACAUGCAAGUCGAACGAGACGAGUUUUCAACACUGAAUGCUUAAUGAUGUAUCUUUUUGAGCGUCGUGAUGGCGAAGCCAUCACCACACUUAUAAUAAGUGAUUAACUUAGGGAUGCAGGAUGAUUGAGCAUUGAGUGUUGAAAAUGAGUCGAGUGGCAAACGGGUGAGUAACGCGUAGACAACCUGCCGCAAAGAUGGGGACAACAGU